GCCUCGAUAGCCUAGUGGUUAGAGCCUCCGCCUCAGAUGCAGGGGGUCGUGGGUUCGAUCCCUCGCCGAGUCA
Potamilus streckersoni is the source of this 73-nucleotide non-coding RNA. Lineage: Eukaryota; Metazoa; Mollusca; Bivalvia; Unionida; Unionidae. The record is from the annotation of a GenBank genome assembly.